Molecule: ribosomal RNA, 240 nt
Filed under: Triticum aestivum (bread wheat)
Lineage: Eukaryota; Viridiplantae; Streptophyta; Magnoliopsida; Poales; Poaceae
Description: partial small subunit ribosomal RNA
Source: RNAcentral
GGCGGAAAGUGCAAGGUUAAUUGGGACCCCGUAUACAAGCCCAAGAUUUAUGGUGGACUAGGAGUGCUCAACCUCCAGAAGUUUGCGAUUGCACUACGCUUGCGUUGGCUCUGGCAUGAAUGGGAUGAUCCACCAAAGACUUGGUCUGGCUCAGGAACGCCUUGUACUAGCAAUGACAAAGAUCUCUUCGCUGCUGCCACACGGGUGUGCAUCGGAGAUGGAAACAAAGCUAAAUUCUAG